RNAcentral lists this non-coding RNA (23 nucleotides) under Arabidopsis thaliana (thale cress). Lineage: Eukaryota; Viridiplantae; Streptophyta; Magnoliopsida; Brassicales; Brassicaceae. The record is from RNAcentral.
CAAGAAGGGCAACCAGUGGCACU